CGGGGAGCAGACUGAGGACAGAGGGGCCCGAGGAAGCGGGGAUCGGGCAGGCAGCCGUAGGUUCCUGGGAAUCUCUCUUCAUCUGGAGGGAGUCCCUGUCUCCUUGGACAUGGCUUAAACCUUUGAAGACAAAAGUCAAAAAGCAGUGCCUUGGACCACGUGUGGGGGAGCCUGAGCCAGGACCGGAGGGGACCCGGAGGAGACACUGUGCUGACCAACGCGGGCCCUGGUGCAGGCAUACUGCAGCAUGUGCACUCUGGCCUGAGAGUCGAGCUGACUUUCCAGCCCGGCUCAGAAGUGGUGACGCCCAUCAAGGUCAUCUCCCCGGCAGCAGCACAAACAGGGGAUGUGGAGGAGAAGGAGUCAGCUGUGUGUCCUCAGGAAGAGUG
Molecule: long non-coding RNA, 389 nt
Organism: Dama dama (fallow deer)
Lineage: Eukaryota; Metazoa; Chordata; Mammalia; Artiodactyla; Cervidae
Exons: 3
Source: RefSeq, a predicted model, not a curated record